GACGUAGGGCGCGAGCGUUGUCCGGAUUUAUUGGGCGUAAAGAGCGUGUAGGCGGCCAUACAGGUCCGUUGUGAAAACUGGAGGCUUAACCUCCAGACGUCGAUGGAAACCGUAUGGCUAGAGUCCGGAAGAGGAGAGUGGAAUUCCUGGUGUAGCGGUGAAAUGCGCAGAUAUCAGGAAGAACACCCGUGGCGAAGGCGGCUCUCUGGGACGGUACUGACGCUGAGACGCGAAAGCGUGGGGAGCGAACAGG
RNAcentral lists this ribosomal RNA (253 nucleotides) under uncultured bacterium. Its description in RNAcentral is "partial 16S ribosomal RNA". It matches the Rfam family "Bacterial small subunit ribosomal RNA", at positions 524 to 776 of the family's 1533-position model. The record is from RNAcentral.